AAAUGAUUGGUUAACAAAUAUUCAACCAUGAUAAUGCUUCAAGAAACGAACUAACAAAUAAAUACAUGUGUAUAUAUUACCAAAAUAAACAAUAACAAUAUUAAUGGGACUAACGAUGCGUGGAUAGGAUAUAUCAUCAAUUAAUACAUUAAUCCAGUAUUUCACAAUCUGAGAUUUCUGUCAAUAUAUAAUAAUACAUACAGCUGUAUUUUACACAAUGAACAACAUUUUUUUGCAUACAUUUUGCAUCUGUUCAUUGAAAUCAAUAUACAU
This 273-nucleotide long non-coding RNA is filed under the name Mytilus galloprovincialis (Mediterranean mussel). The record is from RNAcentral. Lineage: Eukaryota; Metazoa; Mollusca; Bivalvia; Mytilida; Mytilidae.